Long non-coding RNA from Tympanuchus pallidicinctus (lesser prairie-chicken), 328 nucleotides. RefSeq lists it as uncharacterized. The record is from RefSeq and is a predicted model, not a curated record. The transcript is spliced from 2 exons. Lineage: Eukaryota; Metazoa; Chordata; Aves; Galliformes; Phasianidae.
ACCUCUUCUGACCCUGCAGGUGUGAGAGGACCUCCGGAGGAUCGGCCGGUCUCUCACGGCAGAGACGUUCCAGGUCUCCUGUCCUAUCCGUGUGUGGAACAGCCUCCUCCAGUUCACCUGCGUUCCACUCUGAGGAGGCCCACACUUACGUAGAUGACACAAGUGUGGAAGACCUAACAGGAUACCUGGAGCACUAUUUAUUUAUUCCAAAGAAAAUGUCUCCCAUGGCUGAAAUGAUGUAUUCCUAAAUGAAAGCCAUAGGGAGUCACAUAGUCAUACAGUUUAGUUUUUUAAUUAAACCUGUAUAUAGUUUCAUACAGUCACACAA